ACACCCAUAGCUCAGCUGGCAGAGCACCUGACUCUUAAUCAGGGUGUCCGGGGUUCGAACCCCCGUGGGUGUA
RNAcentral lists this transfer RNA (73 nucleotides) under Clostridiales bacterium S5-A14a. It matches the Rfam family "tRNA". Rfam says of the family: Transfer RNA (tRNA) molecules are approximately 80 nucleotides in length. Their secondary structure includes four short double-helical elements and three loops (D, anti-codon, and T loops). Lineage: Bacteria; Bacillati; Bacillota; Clostridia; Peptostreptococcales; Anaerovoracaceae. The record is from Rfam by way of RNAcentral.